RNAcentral lists this unclassified non-coding RNA (393 nucleotides) under Mitracarpus megapotamicus. RNAcentral's name for it is "partial external transcribed spacer". Lineage: Eukaryota; Viridiplantae; Streptophyta; Magnoliopsida; Gentianales; Rubiaceae. The record is from RNAcentral.
GGUUGGAUCCCUGCAUUGAGCGGCGACGUCCUACCUUGCUAUCCUCUUCAUUGUUGGCACAAUUUAUAUUGGCCGUUUUUCGGUUUCCUGUGUUUCGUACCUACUCGAUGGAAUUUCGGUUGUCAAUCUCUAGCUGUUCGCCUUAGGCUGCCCGUUAACUCGGAGCGGCUGCGGGUGAAACUCGAAACGGGAUUUGUGUCCCACGUUCUGCAUUUUUCUUGUCGGUUUCGUGGUCCAUGAAUUCUCGCUCGGGCGCUGGGAUGCAGAAAACGAAGAGGGCACGGAGUCAACGGCUCCUAUUUGUCCACAAAAAGGCUUCAAAGCCAAUUUCGAACGACUUCGGUUCUGUACUGGCCACGAGCCAUGCGGAUCGUUGUCCGUGAGGAAUGCUAC